GACGAACGCUGGCGGCGUGCCUAAUACAUGCAAGUCGAACGAGAGCGACCGGUGCUUGCACUGGUCAAUCUAGUGGCGAACGGGUGAGUAACACGUGGGUAACCUGCCCAUCAGAGGGGGAUAACAUCCGGAAACGGGUGCUAAAACCGCAUAGGUCUUCGAGCCGCAUGGCUUGAAGAGGAAAAGAGGCGCAAGCUUCUGCUGAUGGAUGGACCCGCGGUGCAUUAGCUAGUUGGUGAGGUAACGGCUCACCAAGGCCGUGAUGCAUAGCCGACCUGAGAGGGUGAUCGGCCACAUUGGGACUGAGACACGGCCCAAACUCCUACGGGAGGCAGCAGUAGGGAAUCUUCCGCAAUGGACGCAAGUCUGACGGAGCAACGCCGCGUGAGUGAAGAAGGUUUUCGGAUCGUAAAACUCUGUUGUUAGAGAAGAACAAGUGCUAGAGUAACUGUUAGCGCCUUGACGGUAUCUAACCAGAAAGCCACGGCUAACUACGUGCCAGCAGCCGCGGUAA
Molecule: ribosomal RNA, 514 nt
Filed under: uncultured Granulicatella sp.
Lineage: Bacteria; Bacillati; Bacillota; Bacilli; Lactobacillales; Carnobacteriaceae
Description: bacterial SSU rRNA
Rfam family: Bacterial small subunit ribosomal RNA
Source: RNAcentral